This 466-nucleotide ribosomal RNA is filed under the name uncultured bacterium. RNAcentral's name for it is "bacterial SSU rRNA". It matches the Rfam family "Bacterial small subunit ribosomal RNA", at positions 29 to 524 of the family's 1533-position model. The record is from RNAcentral.
AAUGAACGUUGACAGCGUGGAUUAGGCAUGCAAGUCGAGCGACAAGGGGCUUCGGCCCUGGAGGAGCGGCAAACGGGGUAGUAAGGCAUUGGAACGUACCCUCUGGUCCGGGAUAGCCUCGGGAAACUGAGAGUAAUACCGGAUGAACUCUACGGAGCAAAGGUCCGCCGCCGGGGGAGCGGCCAAUGUGAUAUCAGCUAGUUGGUAGGGUAACGGCCUACCAAGGCUUGGACGUCUAGGGGGUGUGAGAGCACGACCCCCACCACUGGGACUGAGACACUGCCCAGACACCUACGGGUGGCUGCAGUCGAGGAUCUUCGGCAAUGGGCGCAAGCCUGACCGAGCGACGCUGCGUGCGGGAUGAAGGCCUUUGGGUUGUAAACCGCUGUCAGAGGGGAUGAAAGCGAAAGCUUGACAGAGCCUCAGAGGAAGCGCGGGCUAAGUUCGUGCCAGCAGCCGCGGUAAU